ACGUAGGGAGCAAGCGUUGUUCGGAUUUACUGGGCGUAAAGGGUGCGUAGGCGGCGUGUCAAGUCGAUUGUGAAAUCUCCGGGCUUAACUCGGAACGGCCAGUCGAUACUGACGUGUUAGAGUGCAGAAAGGGCAAUCGGAAUUCUUGGUGUAGCGGUGAAAUGCGUAGAUAUCGAGAGGAACACCUGCGGCGAAGGCGGGGUGCUGGGCUGACACUGACGCUGAUGCGCGAAAGCUAGGGGAGCGAACGGGA
RNAcentral lists this ribosomal RNA (253 nucleotides) under uncultured prokaryote. Its description in RNAcentral is "partial 16S ribosomal RNA". It matches the Rfam family "Bacterial small subunit ribosomal RNA", at positions 525 to 777 of the family's 1533-position model. The record is from RNAcentral.